Molecule: long non-coding RNA, 503 nt
Filed under: Calidris pugnax (ruff)
Lineage: Eukaryota; Metazoa; Chordata; Aves; Charadriiformes; Scolopacidae
Description: lncRNA (ENSCPUG00000003231.1)
Source: RNAcentral
AAGGGGUGGUGGUGGAGUGGUGGGUUGUUUUUUUUUGAAAAUACUUGCGGCAAUAGAAAUUCUGCUUGAGAAAGCAAUAUGGAAAUAUGCUGGUGACUGCUUUAAAUGCAGCUCACGUAUGACGUAGUCUGCCUGCCAGUGGAAAAACCCCACCAGCUCUCGAGAGAGCCCUGCUCUGAUCAGUCUGAGUAGAUUAUUCCUUCAGCUUUAAUAAUUCAAACUCCCUGUCUGCCUUACAGGGAGUUUUCCUCUCGCCUGGAAGACACAUGAUGCUGACUGGGGAGAUCCCCAGUCUGCUGCUCGUAUUUUUAAUGGAGUGGUGCUCAGAGCUCCAGGUGACCAUGAGCCAGCGCGGUGGCUGAAAGCUGCGGCAACACAGCGCUACCGGGGGAGCCGCUCCAGAAAUGAGGACAGCUAUCUGCCUCCUCUUUGCAGAGACAACUUAUGAGGUCAAGUGGUACACCACACAAAUAAAAUGACAGCUAAAUUGUAGAAGGAAAGCA